Molecule: ribosomal RNA, 291 nt
Filed under: Klebsiella pneumoniae
Lineage: Bacteria; Pseudomonadati; Pseudomonadota; Gammaproteobacteria; Enterobacterales; Enterobacteriaceae
Description: partial 23S ribosomal RNA
Rfam family: Bacterial large subunit ribosomal RNA
Source: RNAcentral
CUGCGAAAAGCGUCGGUAAGGUGAUAUGAACCGUUAUAGCCGGCGAUGUCCGAAUGGGGAAACCCAGUGCAAUUCGUUGCACUAUCGUUAACUGAAUACAUAGGUUAACGAGGCGAACCGGGGGAACUGAAACAUCUAAGUACCCCGAGGAAAAGAAAUCAACCGAGAUUCCCCCAGUAGCGGCGAGCGAACGGGGAGCAGCCCAGAGUCUGAAUCAGCUUGUGUGUUAGUGGAACGGUCUGGAAAGUCCGACGGUACAGGGUGAUAGUCCCGUACACCAAAAUGCACAGG